UCCCCUUUCGUCCCCGUCGCUACCCUCCCCCCUUAUCUUAUCUAGAUACUCCUUUGCUACACAAGUGACACAUUUAAAUUUUCUCUUUCUUGCUUGCUUUCGCGGUGGUACCUUUCCCCACAGAAGAACGAAUUUUCAAGCUUGAUUUCUUGUUUUUCUUCAAUCUUUUUUUGUUUGUUAAAUUUGGGGUUGAUUUGGAGUUUGUCUUGUGGAAGGUGUCAAAGAACAUUAUACUGGCCGAUGGAGGAGGCAACAUAGGCCGGUAUGAUUUUCCUAAGCACCAGCGGCUUGAAGUUAAGUAUUUUUAGCUUUAAUUCCGACCAAUUCGAUUAUUCUGAUGAAAAGGAAGAGGACAAGUGAUAAAAUUUUUCAACUAGUUCUCUUUCUUAAUCAAAGUGUCAACCUAAUUUCUUCAGUGUUUAUUGCUGCCGGGAGGAAGAUGCAUUUGAAAUUACUAUGAAAAAUGACAUUCGAAUGUUAUGAAGAAGACGGAGAGAGUGUCAGGGAAGAUGACUAUUUUUUCCUUUUGUUUUAAUGCAAAUUGGAUGGCUUUGAUGAUCAAACUUCACUUAUUGGAAGGAUAAGAUAAUCUUCUUACUCACUAUGCUAAAAAUAUUUUAUGUUCUGGAUCAAUUGUUUGCUGCACUACAAGAACCUACUCCGAAGGAUAUGAUAAGUGAAGAUUUUGACUACUUAUUAGUACAUUUUAGCUUUUGUUUUAGUCUAAAAGCAUUUAAUCGUGUUCCCAAAAAUUGAUAAAAUUUGCUUAAUUGUAGAAAUAUUGAAAAGUAAACUCCCGAGAUGAAAUUCAACUCAAGAAGGAGUAAUCUAAACUCAAAAACACAAAAGGGCGCAGAAGUUCAGAAAUGUGGACCAUAGAAUAUUAUCUGCGGCCGCAGAUUGUGAAGGAAAGGCCAGCAGAAAAAGUUGCAAAGUGCAGUCCGUAUAGAAUUGUGCAGCCGCAUAAGAUGGGUCAGGAGCAAAGUUCAGAGAGUCUGUGCAUUUGAAGACCAUCAAAAGUGCGGACCACACAAUAAUUGUGCGGCCGCAGAAAGAGUGCAGUGCGACCGCAGUCCAGAAUUAUGCAACCGUAGAUUUCCAAUCCUCUCAAGCUGAAUAAAAGUGCAGACGGCGUAUGGAAUCGUGCAACUGCAAAAUAUCAUGAUCCGGUAUCUAUUAAGGGUCAUGAUGGCGCCGGAUACCACUGUUAAGCAAGGAAACACCAAAUAAAUGAUAAUUUCUCAUUUUAAAUAUUUCUGAAAUCAUUUCUUUUAUACAUUAAACAAUAAUAAUAAAUUUCACAGAAUAAAUAAUGGUACCUUUAACACAUUUACACUACCGAGUAAUCCCAUAGACAUUCCAGAACCUAGUGUCACAAUUGCAUGAGAAAAUUUC
RNAcentral lists this long non-coding RNA (1395 nucleotides) under Nicotiana benthamiana. RNAcentral's name for it is "long non-coding RNA (NBEN_LNC013924)". The record is from RNAcentral. Lineage: Eukaryota; Viridiplantae; Streptophyta; Magnoliopsida; Solanales; Solanaceae.